GGUUCGAUCAUGGCUCAGGAUGAACGCUGGCGGCGUGCCUAAUACAUGCAAGUCGAGCGAACAGAUAAGGAGCUUGCCCUUUGACGUUAGCGGCGGACGGGUGAGUAACACGUGGGUGAACUACCUAUAAGACUGGGAUAACUUCGGGAAACCGGAGCUAAUACCGAUAAUAUUUCGAACCGCAUGGUUCUAUAGUGAAAGAUGGUUUUGCUAUCACUUAUAGAUGGACUCCGCGCCGUAUUAGCUAGUUGGUAAGGUAACGGCUUACCAAGGCGACGAUACGUAGCCGACUCCGGAGAGGGUGAUCGGCCACACUGGAACUGAGACGCGGUCCAGACUCCUACGGGCAGCAGUAGGGAAUCUUCCGCAAUGGGCGAAAGCCUGACGGAGCAACGCCGCGUGAGUGAUGAAGGUCUUCGGAUCGUAAAACUCUGUUAUUAGGGAAGAACAUACGUGUAAGUAACUGUGCACGUCUUGACGGUACCUAAUCAGAGGCCAUGGCUAACUACGCCAGCAGCCGCAAUACGUAGGUGCGCGUUAUCCGGAAUUAUUGGGCGUAAAGCGCGCGUAGGCGGUUUUUUAAGUCUGAUGUGAAAGCCCACGGCUCAACCGUGGAGGGUCAUUGGAAACUGGAAAACUUGAGUGCAGAAGAGGAAAGUGAAUUCCAUGUAGCGGUGAAAUGCGCAGAGAUAUGGAGGAACACCAGUGGCGAAGGCGACUUUCUGGUCUGUAACUGACGCUGAUAGUGAAAGCGGAUCAAACAGGAUUAGAUACCCUGGUAGUCCACGCCGUAAACGAUGAGUGCUAAGUGUUAGGUCAUUCCUUAGUGCCGCAGCUAACGCAUUAAGCACUCCGCCUGGGGAGUACGACCGCAAGGUUGAAACUCAAAGGAAUUGACGGGGACCCGCACAAGCGGUGGAGCAUGUGGUUUAAUUCGAAGCAACGCGAAGAACUCACUAAAUCUUGACAUCCUUUGACAACUCUAGAGAUAAGUUUCCCCCUCUGGGGACAAAGUGACAGGUGGUGCAUGGUUGUCGUCAGCUCGUGUCGGAUGUUGGGUUAAGUCCCGCAACGAGUGCAACCUCUUUAAGCUUAGUUGCCAUCAUUAAGUUGGGCACUCUAAGUUGACUGCCGGUGACAAACUGAGGAAGUUGUGAUGACGUCAAAAUCAAUAUGCCCCUUAUGAUUUGGGCUACACGUGCUACAAUGGACAAUACAAAGGGUAGCGAAACCGCGAGGUCAAGCAAAUCCCAUAAAGUUGUUCUCAGUUCGGAUUGUAGUCUGCAACUCGACUACAUGAAGCUGGAAUCGCUAGUAAUCGUAGAUCAGCAUGCUACGGUGAAUACGUUCCCGGGUCUUGUACACACCGCCUGUCACACCACGAGUUUGCACACCCGAAGCCGGUGGAGUAACCAUUUGGAGCUAGCCGUCGAAGGUGGGACAAAUGAUUGGGGUGAAGUCGUAACAAGGUAACCGCCGUAUCCCUGAGAAACAGGUCGGUAACAGAGAGUUCGAUUAUGGCUCAGAUUGAACGCUGGCGGAUGUGCUUUACACAUGCAAGUCGAACGGCAGCACGGACUUCGGUCUGGUGGCGAGUGGCGAACGGGUGAGUAAUGUAUCGGAACGUGCCUAGUAGCGGGGGAUAACUACGCGAAAGCGUAGCCAAUACCGCAUACGCUCCUUCGGGGAAAGCGGGGACCUUCGGGCCUCGCACUAUUAGAGCGGCCGAUAUCGGAUUAGCUAGUUGGUGGGUAACGGCUCACCAAGGCGACGAUCCGUAGCUGGUUUGAGAGGACGACCAGCCACACUGGGACUGAGACAUGGCCCAGACUCCUACGGGAGGCAGCAGUGGGGAAUUUUGACAAUGGGGAAACCCCGAUCCAGCCAUCCCGCGUGUGCGAUGAAGGCCUUCGGGCUGUAAAGCACUUUUGGCAGGGAAGAAACGGCACGGGAUAAUACCCCGUGCAACUGACGGUACCUGCAGAAUAAGCACCGGCUAACCACGUGCCAGCAGCUGCGGUAAUACGUAGGGUGCAAGCGUUAAUCGGAAUUACUGGGCGUAAAGCGUGCGCAGGCGGUUCGGAAAGAAAGAUGUGAAAUCCCAGAGCUUAACUUUGGAACUGCAUUUUUAACUACCGAGCUAGAGUCAGAGGGAGGUGAAUCGUGCAGUGGUGAAAUGCGUAGAUAUGCGGAGGAACACCGAUGGCGAAGGCAGCCUCUGGGAUAACACUGACGCCUGCGCACGAAAGCGUGGGAGCAAACAGGAUUAGAUACCCUGGUAGUCCACGCCCUAAACGAUGUCAACUAGCUGUUGGGGCCUUCGGCCUGGCAGCGCAGCUAACGCGUGAAGUUGACCGCCUGGGGAGUACGGUCGCAAGAUUAAAACUCAAAGGAAUUGACGGGACCUGCACAAGCGGUGGAUGAUGUGGAUUAAUUCGAUGCAACGCGAAAAACCUUACCUACCCUUGACAUGUCUGGAAUCCCGAAGAGAUUUGGGAGUGCUCGCAAGAGAACCGGAACACAGGUGCUGCAUGGCUGUCGUCAGCUCGUGUCGUGAGAUGUUGGGUUAAGUCCUGCAACGAGCGCAAAACUUUUGUCAUUAGUUGCUACGAAAGGGCACUCUAAUGAGACUGCCGGUGACAAACUGAGGAAGGUGGGGAUGACGUCAAGUCCUCAUGGCCCCGCGGGUAGGGCUUCACACGUCAUAAUGGUCGGGACAGAGGGUCGCCAACCCGCGAGGGGGAGCUAAUCCCAGAAACCCGAUCGUAGUCCGGAUCGCAGUCUGCAACUCGACUGCGUGAAGUCGGAAUCGCUAGUAAUCGCGGAUCAGCAUGUCGCGGUGAAUACGUUCCCGGUCUUGUACACACCGCCCGUCACACUCAUGGGGAGUGGGUUUUACCAGAAGCAGUUAGCCUUAACCGUAAGGAGGGCGAUUACCACGGUAGGAUCUAUGACUGGGGUGAAGUCGUAACAAGGUA
Molecule: unclassified non-coding RNA, 2978 nt
Filed under: uncultured Bordetella sp.
Lineage: Bacteria; Pseudomonadati; Pseudomonadota; Betaproteobacteria; Burkholderiales; Alcaligenaceae
Description: partial 16S-23S ribosomal RNA intergenic spacer
Rfam family: Bacterial small subunit ribosomal RNA (bases 1500-2978)
Source: RNAcentral